This 271-nucleotide ribosomal RNA is filed under the name uncultured bacterium. Its description in RNAcentral is "partial 16S ribosomal RNA". It matches the Rfam family "Bacterial small subunit ribosomal RNA", at positions 524 to 794 of the family's 1533-position model. The record is from RNAcentral.
UACGUAGGGUGCGAGCGUUAAUCGGAAUUAUUGGGCGUAAAGGGCGCGUAGGCGGAUAAUUAAGUCCGGUGUGAAAGAUCAGGGCUCAACCCUGAGAGUGCAUCGGAAACUGGUUAUCUUGAGGACAGGAGAGGAAAGUGGAAUUCCACGUGUAGCGGUGAAAUGCGUAGAUAUGUGGAGGAACACCAGUGGCGAAGGCGACUUUCUGGACUGUAACUGACGCUGAGGCGCGAAAGCGUGGGGAGCAAACAGGAUUAGAAACCCUGGUAGU